CAUUGCUCUCAGCGUUACGGAAACAUUCGCAGCGUUGCGCCUGAAGUGUCCAGAAGGAUGGAUCACAGCGGAGUGUGUCGAUGCAUCUGCCUGGAACCGAUGCUGCGUUUGCCGCAGUCGCAACUUUUGUCGCUUGUGGACGCGCGAUGUGGUUCGAGAUGUUGAUGCACAAGAAUCACAAAACAUCUGGACAAGCAGCGUGACGGGCGGAUGUUCUGGAACCGACCAUCAACGACACUACGGACUCUUACAAUCGUGCAGUUGCCUUGCACCAUUGAGCAUCGAAGAUCCUUCUGCUCGGUCGCUUUCCGUUUCCGCUCCGAAUGAACAUGAAUGUGUAUGCAUGGGAGGAGAUGUAUAUUUGGAUAAGGAACGGUCUCCGUCCAGCGCCUUGGUCUCGGGUGGAAGCGAUCACCGGAGCAGUAUGGACAUGAACCUCAAGCACGGGCCAGGAACGUCAUGCGGAAUGCAGCUCUCUGAAACACCAAUGAUACCGAGAGGGAGUAGCACCGGGUGCGGUGACGGUGUAUUCGGCUCAAUCCGUGGACGGAUGAAGAGCCAGAGCACCAACAGCAAAGACGUGUCGGUCACCAGACUGCGUCCUGUGUCGCGAACAACCGGAAAGAGAGGCGUUACACGGCUUAAGAGUUAUUUGGGGAUAAACAGCGCUGGGACUACGUGUCGGAAGAGAGACAGAAAAGAUGUGGAGGACCGAGAGAGAAACGGUGCCUCAUGGAAACGUGAAUCGUGCCUUUUACGAUGUGCAAGCAACGCGACAUCGACCCAGGGGACCUAUAGCAGAGAGCCGACACAGCGAUGGUACUUCCGCGUUUGUCGCCGACGGUGCCAACCAGCUCUUCUGUGUAUGGACAAAAGUAGCCGCGAGCAGACAUCUGGGGCUGACAGGUCGAACAUCAGUCAAUUUGCCACGUGGGGUGCUGCAUGCUGUGCCCAGGAUAGUGAGCUACAGGGUACGGGGAAACGGAGGCUUUACCGCCAUAACGAGAGACGACAUAUGUGUACGACAGGGGAUCGGGUUUGCAGUGAGCGUGAAGCUUGUACAGGUCGUGGGCAGGACGCCUGUCUUCAUGGAGCCUGCCGCCUUGUUAGUGAGGAUGUUGUGCAAAUUUGGGCAAGAACGGAAGAAGGUUGGAAUCGCACGGACGACGAGGCGUACCCGGCUUCGAAAGGACAGGUAGCAUUGUGGAGAAAUGACGGUGAUGCAUAUGGUUGCGAAACACGAGGGCAUUCGGCCAGCCUUGUGACCCCUGGAGCGUUGUCUCUGUAUGCGGUCAGGUCACUCUUACGUGCAGGCAGCGGGAGACACCGAACGCAGUGCAGUAACGAUCGGCUUAAUGACAUGCAAAAUGCGAACGCAAUUCAAGAGAGGAAACUGGAAAUCAGCUGUCGUGUUCACGAGGCUUCACGGCGCAGCUCGAAGUUUGAUGCGCUAGGCAGGAAUUCGAAAAAGUCACAUGUAGAAGAGAGACAUAAACAUCCCGUUUUUGGAAGGAGGGCGCCUAGAGGACACUGCAGUGAAAGCAGUGUGAUGCGGGGGCCACGCAUGACGGAAACAUCCCCUUCACGGAGAACAGACAAGGGAACCGAUAGUUACUAUCAAGUGCAUCCGUCAGAAGAUGUAGACUCCAGUAGUGGUGGCCAAGAGGAGCGGCUGAGAGAGCAACGAACGCCAGAGACGGGGUUCGAUACAGAUGACCGAGCAGCAGAUCGGCCGUCCUGCCUUGCAGCCGUGGAUAUGCUGUCGCAAGAUUCCAGAACGGAC
This 1783-nucleotide long non-coding RNA is filed under the name Toxoplasma gondii VEG. The record is from RNAcentral. Lineage: Eukaryota; Apicomplexa; Conoidasida; Eucoccidiorida; Sarcocystidae.